CUGCUUGGUUUGGAAAGGACAACUCAGUGAUAUAUAUCAACUCUUCGGACACAUGCCUAGUGAAUCACCCACCUCGACGAGCCAUCACCUUGAUCCUGCUCAUCGAAACUGAUCGUUACUCGUUGCAUCGAUACCCCGAGGACUCUUAAAUUAGCGUGGCGGAUGCGCUCUUCCGUGGCGGUUUGAAAUCGUUGCCUCUGCC
This 202-nucleotide long non-coding RNA is filed under the name Physcomitrium patens. RNAcentral describes it as "long non-coding RNA (PPAT_LNC013244)". The record is from RNAcentral. Lineage: Eukaryota; Viridiplantae; Streptophyta; Bryopsida; Funariales; Funariaceae.